This 497-nucleotide ribosomal RNA is filed under the name uncultured bacterium. RNAcentral describes it as "partial 16S ribosomal RNA". It matches the Rfam family "Bacterial small subunit ribosomal RNA", at positions 28 to 507 of the family's 1533-position model. The record is from RNAcentral.
GAUGAACGCUGGCGGCGUGCCUAAUACAUGCAAGUCGAGCGAACAGACGAGGAGCUUGCUCCUCUGACGUUAGCGGCGGACGGGUGAGUAACACGUGGAUUACCUACCUAUAAGACUGGGAUAACUUCGGGAAACCGGAGCUAAUACCGGAUAAUAUAUUGAACCGCAUGGUUCAAUAGUGAAAGACGGUUUUGCUGUCACUUAUAGAUGGAUCCGCGCCGCAUUAGCUAGUUGGUAAGGUAACGGCUUACCAAGGCAACGAUGCGUAGCCGACCUGAGAGGGUGAUCGGCCACACUGGAACUGAGACACGGUCCAGACUCCUACGGGAGGCAGCAGUAGGGAAUCUUCCGCAAUGGGCGAAAGCCUGACGGAGCAACGCCGCGUGAGUGAUGAAGGUCUUCGGAUCGUAAAACUCUGUUAUUAGGGAAGAACAAAUGUGUAAGUAACUAUGCACGUCUUGACGGUACCUAAUCAGAAAGCCACGGCUAACUACGUG